RNAcentral lists this ribosomal RNA (253 nucleotides) under uncultured bacterium. RNAcentral describes it as "partial 16S ribosomal RNA". It matches the Rfam family "Bacterial small subunit ribosomal RNA", at positions 524 to 776 of the family's 1533-position model. The record is from RNAcentral.
UACGGAGGGUGCAAGCGUUAUCCAGAUUCACUGGGUUUAAAGGGUGCGUAGGUGGGAAUGUAAGUCAGUGGUGAAAUCUCCGUGCUUAACAUGGAAACUGCCAUUGAUACUAUGUUUCUUGAAUUUUCUGGAGGUAAGCGGAAUAUGUCAUGUAGCGGUGAAAUGCUUAGAUAUGACAUAGAACACCAAUUGCGAAGGCAGCUUACUACAGGGAUAUUGACACUGAGGCACGAAAGCGUGGGGAUCAAACAGG